Molecule: ribosomal RNA, 417 nt
Filed under: Triticum aestivum (bread wheat)
Lineage: Eukaryota; Viridiplantae; Streptophyta; Magnoliopsida; Poales; Poaceae
Description: partial small subunit ribosomal RNA
Source: RNAcentral
AUGGAGUUAGUUUGUUGGAAUGUGCGUGGUCUAAAUGGGCCAGCUAGGAGGAAAACCUUACGUGAAUUUGUAAGCUCGUUGCAUGUGGCGAUUUGUUGUAUCCUGGAGACCAAAUUGGAGAGGGUGGAUCAGUUCACCAUUAUGCAAUGUAUGGGGCCUAAUUUCGAUGGCUACACCUAUCUACCGGCGUCUGACACUAGGGGUGGGAUUUUCAUUGCUUGGGACUCCACCAGGGUCCAAUUGUCUAACCAUGUCAAUGACACCCACUCCAUUUCCAGUUACGUGUCACCUGUGGGGGGUCCACCUUGGUGGCUGACCGUGGUUUAUGGUCCUUAGGAAGACGAGCAGAAAAUUGAGUUUCUGCAUGACUUGGCGGAGCGUAGAUCGUUGUUGUUGGGGAACGUUGCAGAAAAUUAA